CUUGCCUACGGGACGCAGCAGUGGGGAAUAUUGCACAAUGGGGGAAACCCUGAUGCAGCGACGCCGCGUGAGCGAAGAAGUAUUUCGGUAUGUAAAGCUCUAUCAGCAGGGAAGAAAAAAAUGACGGUACCUGAGUAAGAAGCACCGGCUAAAUACGUGCCAGCAGCCGCGGUAAUACGUAUGGUGCAAGCGUUAUCCGGAUUUACUGGGUGUAAAGGGAGCGUAGGCGGCGCGUUAAGUCUGAUGUGAAAACCCGAGGCUCAACCCCCGGACUGCUCUGGAAACUGCCAGGCUGGAGUGCAGGA
This 305-nucleotide ribosomal RNA is filed under the name uncultured bacterium. Its description in RNAcentral is "bacterial SSU rRNA". It matches the Rfam family "Bacterial small subunit ribosomal RNA", at positions 334 to 653 of the family's 1533-position model. The record is from RNAcentral.